Molecule: long non-coding RNA, 493 nt
Filed under: Olea europaea subsp. europaea
Lineage: Eukaryota; Viridiplantae; Streptophyta; Magnoliopsida; Lamiales; Oleaceae
Source: RNAcentral
CAGAACUUCAACACUCGCGAAAAUUAUUUAUUGUAAUAUUGAUAAUAGGAACUAAAAAACCUCGUUUUCUUUGCUGGAAAAAAAAAUGCAGUGGGCUAUGCCUGAGUUCCUUUACCCUGCUUCAGAAGUAAUUCUUUCAUUUCCUUAUACCUCACGAACUCUGUAAAUGCAUCAGCUGUAGUUUUGGAACAUGCAAGUCCAGAGGAUGCAAGAUUCAAAGAAUCAGAGACCCCAACAGCGACUCUGGAGGGACUUCUGCUGUCACGGGCUUGGAGCCCUGCACCAAAUUUGUUGUGAUAGAGAUGUCUGGGCGAAGAGGAGGUGCCUUCUUCAGCAUGCAAAUAAGAGCACCAACAGCAGUAUCUUGAGAUCUUCCAUUGGGACAAAGUCCACCAGGCUGAUCAAAUGACCCUGGUCUGAUGGCAACAAUUGAGAGUCAGCUGGUAAACAUACUGAUAGCCACAGAAUUUAAUUUUAAAACAAGCCAUAAUUU